Molecule: ribosomal RNA, 245 nt
Filed under: uncultured archaeon
Lineage: Archaea
Description: partial 16S ribosomal RNA
Rfam family: Archaeal small subunit ribosomal RNA
Source: RNAcentral
CACCAGCGCCACAAGUGGCGAUCAGCAUUAUUGGGCUUAAAGCGUUCGUAGUCGGUCAGGUAAAUCUUUUGUGAAAUUGAUAGGCUCAACCUACCAACGUGCAGAAGACACUGCCAGACUUGAGACCGGGAGGAGCUAGAAGUAUUUUUGGGGUAGCGGUAAAAUGCUAUAAUCCCAGAAAGACUACCGGUAGCGAAGGCGUCUAGCUAGAACGGGUCUGACGAUGAGGAACGAAAGCCAGGGGA